AGUGGAGGGAAACCAGAUGAUUCUUGAACUAAAUUAAGGAGAGGUUAGUUUUUCCUUAUUGAAAAGAAUACUGUAGUUUUAAGAGAGCAUCUUAGAAAAUAUAUGUGUGCUCUUAAACUUUUCAAAUAUAUGAUGUGAAAUAUCUUUCUUCUUCCUCAGAAGACUAAAUUUUGUGUUCUGUUUUAGUUUGAUAUUAACAAAAUAGAGAGGUAACAUGUAUGUUUGCAGAACAUGAAUGUUUAGCCAAGAUUCUUUAAAUAUCUGAAAUCUAAGUAAAAGUCUUAAUUGUUGUGUUUUGGGGGACCACUUUUAUUUCAUCAGAUGCAAUUUAAGUGUUCGGUAUAUGGAAGGACUGUAGCAAUUAGAAAUAUCGAAACGUAGACCAGGCUAGCUUCUGAGUCUUCAAGAGGAGCUUAGUUUAACCAGUUAACCUUCCGGGCCUCCCCCAUCCUCCUGUUUCCUAAAGCUUUGAAAAAUGUUUUCUUUUCUGCUGUUCAGCAAGGAAAAAGUUAUGAUUUUGUUUUAGAAACAACAGGUCUUUUAAAUGAUCAAUUAGGUACCAAUGAUAAUAUUAAUUUUUUUUUAAUUUGGUUUUUUAACCUGGCUCUAUAAAACCUAACCCUUUUGGGAUAGUAUAUGAGCUUAUGAAAUUUGAGGUACUUUCUUGCAUAUAUCAAGACUGAUCUCAUUUAAAUAUUUAGGUAUUAACAAGUUUUCCCAGGACCAGCCCUGUGGCCUAGCACGCUCCAUUUGGGCGGCCCAGCUUCAUGGGUCUGGAUCUUGGGCGCAGACCUACACCACUUGUCAGCCAUGCUGUGACGGCAACCCACAUGUAAAAUAGGGGAAGACUGGCACCAGUGUUAGCUCAACAAUUAUGUUGCUGAGAAAAAAAGAAAUUUUCCCAUCAUAUGCUAGCUUUGAGUUACAAAGAUAUAAUCUAUUUACAGAUUGAUGAAAAGGUAAUUAAUACAUUCAGAAACAGUACAUUUGUGAAGUAGUUUUCAGCAUUCUUAGUUUUGUUUGCUUUGUAUGAGCCCUGAGCUAACUAACAUCUCUUGCCAUUCUUCCUCAUUUUUUUUUAAUUUGUUUUUUGUUCUCUCCCCACAGCCCCAGUACAUAGUUGUAUAUUCUAGUUGUGAGUGCUGUCCCCCAGUUGUUUUUAUUCAUAGUUUUCCCACCAUCUAGAAAGUUGCCCUAUCACCACGUAUUUAAAAGCUACUGUUUAAGUGAAUCUUUCUGGAUACCUCUGUGACUAUAGGUAAUCUGUCUAUAUGAAUUUCAUGUAUUUCCUCUUA
RNAcentral lists this long non-coding RNA (1295 nucleotides) under Equus caballus (horse). Its description in RNAcentral is "lncRNA (ENSECAG00000048104.1)". Lineage: Eukaryota; Metazoa; Chordata; Mammalia; Perissodactyla; Equidae. The record is from RNAcentral.